Molecule: ribosomal RNA, 506 nt
Filed under: uncultured bacterium
Lineage: Bacteria
Description: partial 16S ribosomal RNA
Rfam family: Bacterial small subunit ribosomal RNA
Source: RNAcentral
AGUGAACGCUGGCGGUAGGCCUAACACAUGCAAGUCGAACGGCAGCACAGGAGAGCUUGCUCUCUGGGUGGCGGGUGGCAGACGGGUGAGGAAUACAUCGGAAUCUACUCUGUCGUGGGGGAUAACGUAGGGAAACUUACGCUAAUACCGCAUACGACCUACGGGUGAAAGCAGGGGAUCUUCGGACCUUGCGCGAUUGAAUGAGCCGAUGUCGGAUUAGCUAGUUGGCGGGGUAAAGGCCCACCAAGGCGACGAUCCGUAGCCGGUCUGAGAGGAUGAUCAGCCACACUGGAACUGAGACACGGUCCAGACUCCUACGGGAGGCAGCAGUGGGGAAUAUUGGACAAUGGGCGCAAGCCUGAUCCAGCCAUACCGCGUGGGUGAAGAAGGCCUUCGGGUUGUAAAGCCCUUUUGUUGGGAAAGAAAUCCAGCUGGCUAAUACCCGGUUGGGAUGACGGUACCCAAAGAAUAAGCACCGGCUAACUUCGUGCCAGCAGCCGCAGUAA